Molecule: ribosomal RNA, 244 nt
Filed under: uncultured bacterium
Lineage: Bacteria
Description: partial 16S ribosomal RNA
Rfam family: Bacterial small subunit ribosomal RNA
Source: RNAcentral
UGGGUAACCUGCCUCAAAGAGGGGAAUAGCCUCCCGAAAGGGAGAUUAAUACCGCAUAAUAUGUUUUGGUCGCAUGACCGAAACAUCAAAGGAAUUUCUUCGGAAAUUUCACUUUGAGAUGGACCCGCGGCGCAUUAGCUAGUUGGUGAGGUAAAGGCCCACCAAGGCAACGAUGCGUAGCCGACCUGAGAGGGUGAUCGGCCACAUUGGAACUGAGACACGGUCCAGACUCCUACGGGAGCAG